Molecule: ribosomal RNA, 248 nt
Filed under: uncultured soil bacterium
Lineage: Bacteria
Description: partial 16S ribosomal RNA
Rfam family: Bacterial small subunit ribosomal RNA
Source: RNAcentral
AGAGUGAACGCUGGCGGUAGGCCUAACACAUGCAAGUCGAACGGCAGCACAGUAAGAGCUUGCUCUUAUGGGUGGCGAGUGGCGGACGGGUGAGGAAUACAUCGGAAUCUACCUUUUCGUGGGGGAUAACGUAGGGAAACUUACGCUAAUACCGCAUAAGACCUUCGGGUGAAAGCCGGGGGACCUUCGGGCCUGGCGCGGAUAGAUGAGCCGAUGUCGGAUUAGCUUGGUUGGCGGGGUAAAAGCCC